UGUGCCGUGCCCCGUGUGAGAACGGCGGGACCUGCGUGGCGCCGGACAGGUGCAGGUGUGCCCGGGGGUACGUCGGGCCGCGGUGUGACAAAGCGAUAUGUCACCAAGGUUGUCGAAAUGGCGGCCGCUGUGUCAGGCCAGGGGUGUGUUCCUGUCGGCAAGGAUUCACGGGAAAAACUUGCGAAAAUGAUAUCUCCAGACAACACCCGAGAAACACGAACCUAGCGGCUCCCCUCGGUAGUCUAUGUUCCAAAAGGAGGAAAUCUCGAGCGUGUCUCAAAGGUCUUUGUGGGGUCAAAGGUUGUAAAAACGGUGGGAAAUGCAGCACAUCCGGGAAAUGUUUGUGUCGAAACGGUUUCCAUGGCAGCCAUUGUCAACACAGACGAUGUAAAACGUACCAGCGCUCCUCCGAGCCGUACAGAAGGGGCUACAAGAGGAAGUUUAAGGCCGUCACUAAAGAAAAGUGCGGCCCGUUUAGUCUGGACACGUGCGUCAAAGAAAGGUCCUUCUACAAGAUGAUAUACAAAACCUUUUACAGAACUGUUUACAAGUGUGGAUUAUAAAAAACCUGGACAAAAUUUUCAGUGCAAUAUCGAAUCUCCGUGAUGUCUGUGCCAGAGAUAAAAUGGCGUCGUUGGCCAUGGCAGUGAACUAUGACCUGUGACGUACUGGGUGCUCACUCCUAUGGAACAGCGCCGCCUGUGGAUUUACGUGAGAACUGCAGGAGUCACGACAACUCGGCAGUGCAAGAGGCCGUUUAAUCUGCUGACGUCAUUCCCAGACAGCUUUUGCGAAAAGGACUUUUGGCGGGAAAACUUCAGGAGACAUUUUUAGCUGCGGUAUCAGUAAUAACGCCAGGAGGCGCUUCUGGAUGGAAAGCAUCACCUCCACGUUGCUACCACCCAACAGAGAGAAAGAACGACACACAUUCUACGACAGUACGAGGGCGAGCUGAUGAGUUUCUCUUUUAAAUGGAUCUAGCUUCAGUUUUACUGAUCUAUGACUGAUUCCGAUGAACAAGAGUGAUUGACAUGAUUAUUUUCUCAUCUCCAGGCAAAUUCACCGGUGCCAUUAGUUAGUAUCAAAGCUAGCCAAGGAGUAUACCCUAGUCUCCAAGCAGACUCUACGG
This is an RNA transcript of Branchiostoma floridae (Florida lancelet), 1129 nucleotides long. It is a transcript of the gene named wnt inhibitory factor 1-like, with no coding region annotated. NCBI's taxonomy places the organism in Eukaryota, Metazoa, Chordata, Leptocardii, Amphioxiformes, Branchiostomatidae. The transcript has 6 exons. The record is from RefSeq and is a predicted model, not a curated record.